RNAcentral lists this transfer RNA (737 nucleotides) under uncultured Bartonella sp. RNAcentral describes it as "partial miscellaneous RNA". The stretch from base 157 to 230 matches the Rfam family "tRNA". Lineage: Bacteria; Pseudomonadati; Pseudomonadota; Alphaproteobacteria; Hyphomicrobiales; Bartonellaceae. The record is from RNAcentral.
GCCUUCUGGCAAUCUGCGCCUCAUAAAUGUUUGAAUAAAUAUUUUAAGAGAGGCACUCAUAAAUUUUGAGAUAGUUGAGAAGACCUUUUGUUUUUUGUGUCUGUUUUAUUGUGAUGUCAGAUUGUACCGGAGAAGGUUUUUCCGGUUUAUCCCGGAGGGCUUGUAGCUCAGUUGGUUAGAGCGCGCGCUUGAUAAGCGUGAGGUCGGAGGUUCAAGUCCUCCCAGGCCCACCAUUUAUUCCAGGCCUAUGAUUGAUUUCUAGGCAGACAUUUAUUCCAGGCUUAUCUUAUAGUUUUAGGCUUACUAUGUGUGGUUGCGUUUUUAUCUUUUAACUGCCAUGUUGUUUGGUUAAAGAGGGGCCGUAGCUCAGCUGGGAGAGCACCUGCUUUGCAAGCAGGGGGUCGUCGGUUCGAUCCCGUCCGGCUCCACCAUCAUAGGCUAUUUAUGCGCUAUGGAUCAUCAUGUUAGAGAACAAGUUUGCAAAUAGAUUUUGAUUUAUUUGCUGGUUCUAUUGAAAUUGUGAAGAGAAGAUAUAUUCAGACAUUGCUGUUUGAAGGCUCCUUUUAGGGGUUCUUUAGAGAGUGAAUGUGUCGCAAGGGAAUGCUCAAAACCCUUGCCUUAUGAUUGGCGUUUUAACCGACGUCAUUGAAUAUAUCUCGAGAAACUGGUCCUUCUGCUGAUAUUUUGAGCUGAGUGUGCACGCAUUCAACAGUGAAUGAAUAUUGGCAAUGAGAACG